CGAAGCAUGUCAACCGCUGUUUAAAAUCCAUUUUUAUGCCAUUUUUCUCGUAAAAAAGCGAUAAUAUUCCGACCGGGAAUGUCCAUUUAGCUAAACAGAGGAAAGAAAACAAAGCUUUCGGUCGACGCGGGCACGAGCCCGAUUAUGUCAGCAGAGUACCCAGCCAGAAAUAAUCAGAGAGCCAUUUUUCAAGCAAGCAUAUAAUGUCACAUUAACCCAAACCACAGCUAAAUGCAGCACUAACCUUUGAUGAUCUUCAUCAGAUGACACUCCUAGGACAUUAUGUUAUACAAUACAUGCAUGUUUUGUUCAAUCAAGUUCAUAUUUAUAUAUAAAAACAGCAUUUUAUAUCGGCGCGUGACGUUGACUAACUAUUUUCCCUCAAAUGCGUCCGGUGAAACAGCGCUACAAUUUACUAAAUUACUAUUCGAAAACAUUUUUAAAAUGUAAUAUUGUCAUUCUAAGAUUUAUAGAUUAGCAUCUCUUGAAAGCACCUACAAUGCCAGAUUUAAAAAUAACUUUACUGGGUAAUCACACUUUGCGAUACUCAGAAAAACAGGCUAGCAAUACAGGUCAGCGCCAUCUUGGAACAAUCGCAUAUCAAAUCUACUCUUGUAUAUUAUUGUCAAUAAUCCCUUACCUUUCAUUAUCUUCAUCAGAAGGCACUUCCAGGAAUCCCAGGUCCACAACAAAUGUAUUUUCGUUCGAAAAAGUUAAUCCUUUAUGUCCCAAUAGCUUGUUGUUGUUAGCGCGUUCUGAAGGCUGCUCCAAAAGUACCGUCGGCCGCGGGACUUCUCUCUCAACAAAAUGCAUUUUUUUUUAAUGUAAGUUCGUUCAAACAUGUCAAACGUUGUAUAACAUAAAUCUUUAGGGCCUUUUUCAACCAGAGCUCCAAUAAGAUUCAAGGGGGACGGUUGCAUUGUCUUUCUAAACGUUUUGAAAGGGGAGGGUAGCCAGGGACGCCGGCGUCAUAAUGGUGAUGGCCCUCUCCAUGUGACCACGUUCCACAGACUCUCAUUCUGUCAGUUUUCACAGUAGAAGGCUCAAACCACUUUGUAAAUACUGGGGACAUCUAGUGGAAGUGCUCAAUGAACCAUAGCUCACGGUGUGAUUUAUAGGCAAAGUGAUGAAGUUGAGUCCGCAAUUCAGAAUUCCACAUCCUGUUACGAUCUGUCUCGGGGUUUUGACUGCCAUAUGAGUUCUUUUAUACUCACAGACACCAUUCAAACAGUUUUAGAAACUUUAGGGUGUUUUCUAUCCACAAGUAUUAACCUGUUGGGGGUAGGGGGCAGUAUUUACAUGGCCGGAUAAAAAACGUACCCGAUUUAAUCUGGUUAUUACUACUGCCCAGAAACUAGAAUAUGCAUAUAAUUAUUGGCUUUGGAUAGAAAACACCCUAAAGUUUCUGAAACUGUUUGAAUGGUGUCUGUGAGUAUAACAGAACUCAUAUGGCAGGCAAAAACCUGAGAAGAUUCUGUAUAGGAAGUGCCCUCUCUGACCAUUCCUUGAGCUUCUUGACUCUGUUUAUUGAAGACUGAGGAUCUCUGCUGUAACGUGACACUUCCUACGGCUCCCAUAGGCUCUCAGAAGGCGGGAAAAAGCUGAAUGAUGUAAUUCCAGCCACUGGCUGAAACACAUUAGCGCUUUUGGCAAGUGCUCUAUCAGAGGACAAUGGGCUGAGGCGCGUGCACGAGUCGACCCCAUGUUUUUAUUUUAAUUCGUCUUUGAACCUAAACACAGAUUCCCGGUCGGAAUAUUAUCGCUUUUUUACGAGAAAAAUGGCAAUAAAAUUGAUUUUAAACAGCGGUUGACAUGCUUCGAAGUACGGUAAUGGAAUAUUUCGUAUUUUUUUGUCACGAAAUGCGUUGUGCGCGUCACCCUUCUUUACCAUUCGGAUAGUGUCUUGAACGCACGAACAAAACAGAGGAUAUUUGAACAUAACUAUGGAUUAUUUUGAACCAAACCAACAUUUGUUAUUGAAGUAGAAGUCCUGGGAGUGCAUUCUGACGAAGACAGCAAAAGUAAUAACAUUUUUCUUAUAGUAAAUCUGGUGAAUGCUAAACUUGGUGGGUGUCAAAAUAGCUAGCCCUGUGAUGCCGGGCUAUCCACUGAGAAUAUUGCAAAAUGUGCUUUCACCGAAACGCUAUUUUAAAAUCGGACAUAGCGAGUGCAUAGAGGAGUUCUGCUUCUAUAAUUCUUAAAAUAAUUAUGUUUUUUGUGAACACCAUUCAAGCUUUAUUUUUUGGCCUAGUUUCCCCCUAAUAAAGUGGCCUGAAACUCAUGUUUUACAAGCCACAUCAGGCCUGCAAGUCACAUUAUGCUGGCUUUGAAAGUGAUGUGUAAUUCCUAUUAGAAUCCAGCCAGAGUUAGGAUAUCCAGCUGUUGGAAUUUUUAUUCACCUCCAACCUGCAUUUAAAAAUUACUGCUAAGAUUAGAAACAGUGUGAGGAGACUACGUAAACCAUUUAAACUGGAACAACGACUUCAGUAACGGGUGCAAAAAAUCUUUUUAGUAUCUUUGUGUACCAUAAGAUCACUUAACUUGGAAGCCAGCCGCACCAAUGUGUCAGAGUAAACACCAUACAACUGGCUACCAAAGUCAGCGUGCACUUGCCCGGCCCACCACAAGGAGUCGUUAGAGCGCGAUUAGCCAGGAACAUCCCGGCUGGCCAAACCCUCCCCUAACCUGGACGGCGGUUGGCCAAUUGCGCACCGCCUCAUGGGUCUCCCCGUCUCAGCCAGCUGCGACACAGCCUGGGAUCGAACCCGGGUCUGUAGUGACGCCUCUAGCACUGCGAUGCAGUACCUUAGACCGCUUUGCCACUCGGGAGACACUGUACCCUUAUUUGUAAGAGUGCAGUCUCCUCUCCCUGAAUGAAAACGAGUACACAAGCCUCAAGACAUGGCAUGCCACUUCCCCUCCAUUGGUCUCGGUGACCUGUAUGCAGAAGAUCUGUUGGAUUCUAUCAGAGUAAAGCAAAAAAGCUUUCCUCUCUGACAUGAUAUUUCUUGAGGCCAAGAAGGAGCUCAAACAGAUGGAGCAACUCGUGGUUACACUAGCCAAACCACACCUACAGCCAGCUGAACCUCCAGUGCCACAGGUUUGUACCUGCACACCACAGAGAAGACUGUGAGAAUGCAGGGAUUGAUGGAAGGGUUGGUAGUGAGAAGAUGCAGGAAAGGGACAGAUCAGUAUCUACGACAAGAAGAAGAUCACACCCAUUGGUCACCCCCAUUGGUCACCAAAAGGGAUGCCCAUCCUGACCAAGUGGAGGCUGACCAGUCCUCACAUCCCCUUCUUCAUGCACCUUCUCAUUCAGUGCCAGCUGCUGUGGCUCACCAUCAAGAGGUUGCUGCAGAUUUACACCCUGUAGCCCCACACCAAUCUCGCCAGCUUGAAACUGCUCAUCAGCGCCUCCAUCAACAUGAGCGCUCGACGACAUCGUCACCUUCAGCAUUAGAGUCGCCAUCAGCCCACCUCGGAUCCGACCCCUUUUGAUAGUGGUGCUACAACCUUCUCCAGGGCCAGAGGGGCUACCAGAACACACCCUGGUGGAGUACCCCAUCACUGGACCAGCCAUGCAGAUCCAUCCUGCUCUGACCAUGGAGCUGAAGCUAGUAGUGGGGUCUACUACACCCACUCCUGCCAUAGAGCCUCAGCCUUCUCCAGUAACAGAGCUCACCCUGGAGGAGUACCCCACCACUGUGCUCCAACCUACUUCAGCCGUGGUGUCUCAACUGGUUUCCACCUUAGCUCUACAGCCUUCUUCAAGGCCAGAGGAGCUACCAAAGCUCACCCUGGAGGAGCAAACCACUACUUUUCUCCAGCUGACACCAACUGUGGAGUCCAUCAUAGAAACCACAGAGCCUUUUCCAGGGAUGGAGGAGCUACCAGAGCUCUCCCUGAGAGAGCACACUACUCCAGCUGAUAUGUCAGUCGGCCCCUGCCUGGUGGGAUUUACCUGUUCCUACCUUCCAAGUCCAGCCUGCUGCCAUCCAGUGGUGUCUGCCUGCUGCCACAUGGACUCAGUCUGCUCAGGCUGGCCCGGCCGCGUCAGCCCCUGUCUGGUGGAACUUGCCUGUCACCAUCUUAGGGUCCUCUGUCAGAAACAGCUUGAAGCACUCUGCCUCAGAUGGAGAUGACAAGGGGCUUUGCACUCGACUGGGACUCAUAAAAACCAACAGCAUGGCCAGGAUGGGUGAAAUUACUGGAGGCCUUCCAGCUACCGCAGACCUCCCGUAUUUCACUCACUGUUGAUGUGCCUCCAUCACCACCAGCAUCUUCAGAGGGACCUGGGACUUCUUCGGUGGCAAAGGGUCCUCAGAUUCAGAGUUCUCAAUGGCUACAAGGUUGGGGGGCAGCUCCUUACUCUCACUGUCAGAACCUGAUUCCUCACUGUCAUAAUCAGAAUCAUUAUCAGAAUUUACAAAAAUUUCCAGAAUUUCCAUAUUUGUAAAUUGUCUUCUUUUUAAAGACAUUGCUAAUGCUACAGCUUAGCCCACUAGCUACAUACAUAAAAAACAACACUGAAUGGCUCCAAGUGAGUGUCAGGGGCGACGUGAUUGGCUACCGGUGUGGUGAUACUGAUGAUUUGUCUCCACAAAGGGUUUGGUUAUACAGCAGGUUAGGAUAAUUAACAUGGCAGGUUAGGAUAACUAAUGCAGCAGGUUUGGUGAAUUAUAUAUACUAGGUUAAGAGAAUGAGGUUAAGGUUAGGAAAAGGGUUAGGGUUAGGCUUGUCUACAAGCUACAGUUGUCACCAACAGUUGUCCCCGACAUAACCACUAGAUGGAGCUAUUGUAGGCCUAGCUACUCCAUUGAGCCUCAACGUUAGAAACGUAAACAAACCAUCUGUGGCGACAAGUCAUCAGUAGCGUUAUCAUAACACCUGAAUGGGCCACUUGUAUCAAUAAAUCACUAUCAGAAAAUGGUUUGUGUGGUAAUAAUUUCUUUAUUUACAUGUUUUCAAGUACUAGUGACAUCAUGCAUUCUGAUUCUUGCAUUGAUUCUAAUUGAUACAAUGUAUGAGGUGUAUAAAAUCAUUUUUUGAAGGUUGUACUGAUUAUGAUGAGCUAAUGGUAAGCUAUUUGCCAGCUAUGUGUCAUGGUCAUGGUCUAAACACGCCAAAACAGUUGGCACGACAACACCUUUUCCCCCUCAGGAGACUGAAAACAUUUGGCAUGGGUCCCCAGAUCCUCAAAGUUAUACAACUGCACCAUCGAGAGCAUCCUGACCGGUUGCAUCACCGCAUGGUAUGGCAACUGAUCGGUAUCUGCCUGUAAGGCGCUACAGAUGGUAGUGCGUACGGCCCAGUACAUCACUGGGGCCAAGCUUCCUGACAUCCAGGACCUAUAUACUAGGCGGUGUCAAAGGAAGGCCCAAAAAAAUGGCAAAAACUCCAGUCACCCAUGUCAUAGACUGUUCUCUCUGCUACCGCACGAAAAGUGAUACAGGAGUGCCAAGUCUAGGGCCAAAAUGCUCCUUAACAGCUUCUACCCCCAAGCCAUAAGACUGCUGAACAAUUAGUCAAAUGGCCACCCGGACCAUUUACAUUUGUUUUUACACUGCUGCUCCUCGCGGUUUAUUAUCUAUGCAGAGUCACUUUACAAAUUACCUUGACUAACCUGUACCCCCGCACAUUGACUCGUUACCAGUCCCCCCCGUAUAUAGCCUCGUUAUUGUUAUUUCAUUUUCUUGUGUUACUUUUUAUAUAUAUUUUUUUCCCACAUUAGUUAUGUUAUGUAAGUAUUUUCUUAACUCUAUUUCUUGAACUGCAUAUUUGGUUAAGGGCUUGUAAGUAAGCAUUUCACGGUAAGGUUUACAUCUGCUGUAUUCUGCAGAUGUGGCAAAUAAAAUGUGAUUUGAUUUGAU
RNAcentral lists this long non-coding RNA (5870 nucleotides) under Salmo salar (Atlantic salmon). Its description in RNAcentral is "lncRNA (ENSSSAG00000086272.1)". The record is from RNAcentral. Lineage: Eukaryota; Metazoa; Chordata; Actinopteri; Salmoniformes; Salmonidae.